AACAUUGCUACGUUGAUUCGACAUACCUCUUAGUUAUAAUAUUUUCCUGGCAAUUCUGGAUUGUAAAUGACACCUAUAUUUUCCAAAUCCUAUAGCCAGUUUUAGGUUUUUGAACACUUAAAGUUAAUAAGCUUCCAUCAGUAGCAAUGUCUGUUUUCUGAAACAUUCCUUUAUAGAGAGGGGAGGGUAUUUGCUAAUUCGUUGUCAAUACCACUGAAUAGUAGGUCAAUUGGCGCAGUUUGUUUCACACUCUGAUACAAGUCCUAUGUUCUGUCAAAAAGAGGACUGAUGGAGCUAUAGCUUCAUUUAUUCAUGUUUUGAUCCAUUUUCCUCUACCCAAGUACAGAGUUCCCUUCCACUUUCUUGUUUGGGACUCGAAUAGAUUAGAGCAGGAGUUUCAGUUCUGGCUUGUUUAAUUCAUUCCUUUCUUUUUGAGCGGUAAAGGACAGAAGGAGAGGCUCCUACUAUUUUGUAUUUAAAUUUCUGUAUUACAUGUACAACAAGCCACUACAUCAUCCACCUACAUCUCCCAUCCCAGAGAAGGGAGUGAGAGACACAUUGGUUGGAUGGUAGGGGAAGGGGGGCUAAAAGAGGGAAAACAGUGAAGAGGGAGAUGCCGCCUACACAAGGUGCUAAUCAGAGAAUCAAUAGAAGGCCCAAGUCUAGACUUAGCUCUAUGGGCUAAGAGGGCAAAGUCUAGCUUGAAUCUGUUGGUCCAGGAUCUAUGAGUUGGGGGGGAUUCGUUGGAAAAUUUUGCCGUUCCUCUCUUUCCAAAUACCCCACGCGGCUGCCGUGAAAACCUCCAUGAACAUUGGUCUCGACCAUCCAUCCCUAGCGGAGUGAAUCAAUUUUUAGUCUGUUGCUAUCUGAGAGCCAGGUCAUUUGCAGGUCUUCCCAACACUUGUUGAAUGGGCACGUGAAAAACAAGUGCUCCACCAUUUCUUCAGACCCCGAGUCACAUAGGACACAGUCCACGUUGUCGUCCACAUUGAAGUGCCUAUGGCUCAGCAUGUUUUUCGUAUUGAUUCUGUCAGCUAGGAUCAGCCAUGCAAACACCUUGAGCUUCAUUAUACAGGCCGACUUCCAGAUCCACACGAACUCCUUGUCGGCUGUGACAUCCUUGAAAUAGAAUUUGUAGUAUUUGGCAGAUGAAAGCUCUCCCCCCGUACAGGCCCAUUUGUCUUUUGUUGCGUUAUCGGGUGACGUCGAGGCAGUCAACAGUUGCAUGGUCUUGGACCUCCUCGUACGCUUGCGCAGAGAGGGGCAGGUGGAAUCCUUGAUUGGUGUCCUCAAUACCAAGUAAUUCUGCCACAGAGGCGUCUUCUGUUUUAUCGUAAGAGAAUGCUCGGGGGUGUGUAUCAGCAAUGAUCUCGUCUAGCCAUAAAUCCUUCCAAAACAGAGCAGUGGAUCCAUCCCCGAUCUGAACUCUCGUGAUCCCUCUGUAAAUAUCAUUCAGCUGCAUUAUGUCUUUCCACCAGAACGAGCCAUAAAUUUCCAAAGCGUGAGGGACCUUGUCAGCAUAGUACGUAGCCCACUAGGUCGACCCAAGGCACGCCCUUUUUGUUGUAGAAGUUGUGUAGGUGUUUGAGAAGCAGACCCGUGUUUUGCACCUGAAGAUUUAUUAUGCCAAGGCCCCCUUUCUUCUUCGGGCGACAAACAAUGUCCCAUGCAGCAAGAGAGUUGCAUGUUUCUCCAUUUUCCAUAUUCUUACGCCAAAGACAUCUUCGGAUCUUGUCGAGGUGCUCAAUCAGCUUUGGAGGGAAUUUAAUAAUGGUGCACAUCGGGUAGAUUAUCAUAUAGGUCAGGACUGGAUUCAGGAGCUGAAGUUUGCUGCCAUGAGAGAGCAUGCUGAGCGAUGAAGACAACCGCCUCUCAACACUGUUCACCACUGGCAUAAGAUCUAUGAUCGUUGGUCUGGUAGUUCCCAUCGGCAAUCCCAGAUAGGUGAAUGGCUUCGAACCAGUCGAGCACUGAAAGAUUUGAGCUAAAUUCAACAGCCAGAGGUCCAGUAGUGUUGAUGGGUACUAGGACAAAUAUCUGAAAAUUAAUUUUCAGACCAAUGGAAUCAGCAUAGUCCAUGAGGAGUUGCUUCAUUUUGCUAGCUUGGGUAGGGCGCGCUGGCAUGGCAAGUAUCGUGUCAUCAGCGUACUGUAUCACUGGGUAAUCUGGUGAUCCUCGCGCAGGGAAGGGAGUUCAAUUAUGUUGGGCCGAUGUGCUUCGUUGAUAGCCGACUGGAGAAGAUCUGCCGCAAGAACGAAAAUGAGGGGGGAAAGAGGAUCCCCCUGACGGACACCGCGUUGACAGAUGAAUUGUCUACCGGGCACGCCAUUCAACAGCAUCGACGACAUCCCAGAGUUGAAGAUACACUCAAUCCACCCAAGCCAGCGAGCGUCGAAGCCCAUGUUCUUCAUAAUUUCCAGCAUAGCAGAGUGUUCAAUUAUAUCGAAGGCUUUGGCAAAAUCUAGCUUCAACAGAACGAUUUCUUUUCCCGAGUUUUGACAUUGAAAGAUGUACUCCUGGAUUGUGUGGUCGCGUAGGAAGCCGUACUGGUUCCCGAUGAACAAUUUUCAGUAUCAAUUUUUGGAGUCGAUUUGCAAGGAGUUCUGUAAUGAUUUUCAAACAGCAGUUCAAUAGUGUAAUUGGCCUUUAGUCAUUUGUUGUUUGAGGCGAUCCGGUUUUCGGGAUAAGAGUAAUGAAUCCCAAAUUGAUGCUUUUCUGAUCGAAGGUUCCAUGGUAAAAAUCACCACACAGUUGAUAGAAAUCGUUUCUGAUGAUGUGCCAGCAGGUUUUCAGAAACAUGCCAUUGAACCCGUCAGGUCCAGGUGCGCGAUCAGCAGGCUUUUUUUUGACAACCUCGUCAAUUUCCUUAUGUGUGAAAGGUUCAGACAAUGUUUCUGAACCAUGUACCUUUUGGAUUAUGGAUGGUAAAUCAAAUUUCAUAGCCGGAGGGGAUGAUUCACCUAGUCGCUGUUUAAAGGCUUGGAAAAGGACAGCCUCUUUGGCAGUAUGAUCAUGCACUUCAGUGCCAUCAGGGAGCUUGAGAGAUGCAAUUGAGUUUUUUCUGUACCGUUCAGUUGCCAAGGCUUGAAAAAGCUUGGUGUUCUCUUCUCCGAAUUUAAUCCAUCGAAUAGUGCAACGCUUCUUCCAAUAGGCGUUUUGGUGCUGCAGGAGGGUGAGGAGAUGGGCUUUGACAAUCCUUCUGAAGUUCUUCUCCGGGGUAGAUAGUGGCUGCAGGUCUUUGAGCCCAUCUAGCCCAACCAGGGCCUCAUUGUAGUUUUGAAUCAGAAUUGAGAGGCGGGAAAUCCCCUUACUCCAAUUCUUGAGCUCAUAUCUCAGUUUUUUGAACUUUCUGCAUAUGAGGGCAGCACUAUUUGUGGUGUGGCAAGGACUGUUCCAAGAGUUUGCGACCACAUCGAGAAAACCUUAGUGGUUGAUCCAACAAUUUUCAAAGCGGACGAUUUUGCUCUUGGGGAUCUUUGUUUCAAUGGUAACAACAUAGGGGCAGUGAUCGGAGACAGGUUUUCCUAGAGCCGUCGCCGCAGUGUUUGGACACAAGAGAGUAUUACUCGAAGAGAAAACCCAAUCAAGUUGUUCCAGCAAGGGAUCCUCUUGCAUAUUGCUCCAGGUGAAUGAGCGCCCUUUUAGGGGAAUUUCAACUAGUGCCUGACUGCGGAUUAUGUCAUUGAAUAACAUGAUAUCAUUUAGGUCUCCUCCAGGUUUAUUCCUGUAACUUACGGAUCCUAUGAAAUUAAAAUCGCCCAAGAGGAGGCAGUCUUCAGAGUUCUGGAUGUUCAGGAUAAAGCCAAGUAGUGAAAGAAUUCCUGUCUUCGCCACGACAUGGGCCAGAUAUAUUGAAAAGCUUCCAAACAUUUCCAGAUAACUUAGAAGUAAAUUCAAUACCCACUGCGAAAAUAUCAGAGAAAGUAGUUACUCCAUCAAAGACUAUUCCACACUGAAAGAAUACCACCAGAGGCCCAACGAGAUGGCACGAAAGCAAAUUUAUCGAAUCUUCGGGGACAAAGGUCUUGAUGAAGUUCAAAUCAAAGUGCAAGCGCUCGGUCUCUUGCAAACAUAUUACAUCACAACCACUGAUAGAAAUGGCGUUUCUUAUAGCUAGUAGCUUAUCAUCUGAAUUUAUUCCACGCACAUUCCAAACAAGCACCUUCCAUUGUUUCUUACCAGAUAUAGAUGAUUAUGCAGUGGAGGAGGAAGAAGUCUCUUCCUGCGGCUCAGCUGUCAACCUGGAAAUGGAGAGCUCUUCGGCCGGAAUCCCACAUCUAACAGUCCCAAUGUACUGGAAGCGGGGCAGGAUCAGCCGCCGUCUUGGCGAUGGGAGCAGCAGCAGAGGUGGUGUUGGCCUGGUUGGGGUCAUCCUAGGCUUGACUUUGCUUUUGGUGGUGUGAGUCUUUGCCAGGGAGGGGGCCUUGAAUCCGUUGUACUUGUUCGCCCGGUCACUACGACGAAGCUGGAUAGUAACAAUUUCAGCAACUAUCUUAGUCUUGCGUCCCCUUGCGUGCAGUGGGUCUGUCAGAGAUCAUUGCAGUGGUGUCACUCAUUACAAUCCCCAGGCUAUCAGACUGUAUCUGUAGCAACAGAGGGACCAGUAUCGGCCAGGUGGUCUUCAGAGCAUGAGCUACAAACGAGAACUGCAGUUUCUUGCAGAAAAGAGUAGCAUUCUGAUCCAUACCUGGUUUAUAGGUGAUCAUCAAAGGCAUAGCUAUAGAUGUAAGACCUGAAGAAAUCAAUGAGCUGGUUGAAGGGCAGUACC
Molecule: long non-coding RNA, 4768 nt
Organism: Triticum dicoccoides
Lineage: Eukaryota; Viridiplantae; Streptophyta; Magnoliopsida; Poales; Poaceae
Exons: 2
Source: RefSeq, a predicted model, not a curated record